This 71-nucleotide transfer RNA is filed under the name Phrynosoma platyrhinos (Desert horned lizard). RNAcentral's name for it is "tRNA-OTHER". Lineage: Eukaryota; Metazoa; Chordata; Lepidosauria; Squamata; Phrynosomatidae. The record is from RNAcentral.
GCCAGCAUGGCAUAGUAGUUUGAGUGUUGGAUUGCGACUCUGAAGAUCGGGGUUCGAUUCCUUGCUCAGCA